UCGGCGCAAACACUGUUCUUCUUCUCCAAACAACAGAAUUCGUUCCCAAAAAUCGCCAAAAUUCAGGCGAGUGAAACCCAAACUCGCAUCACGCGUUUUAUUUUCUUUCCUCUUGCCAUAGCGUAAUUGUUUCUGACAAAUUCCCCCUCCCUCACAUGCUCUCUUUGAUUUUAGUUCAGAUUUUUCGCUCUUCAGAUGAAAAAAGGAAAAAUGGGGAGCGUUAGAUUGGAUUCGAGCUAAUAUACUCCCUCCAUUUGUCCCUCUUUCAUCAGAAACGGGGUAAGAAAUCAGUUUGGGGGAGGAUUUUUCAUUUUGGGGGGUUUUCGUGGAGAGAAAGGAAGAAGAUUCGAGAAGACCUGAAGGUCUAUAAAAUGUGAGAACGUUUUCUUAUUCUGGGGAUUUUUUUUGAAGAAUAUUUGGGGAAACGAUUUGAGAGAGAUUUCGGAAGAAAGUUAAAAUUAGGGUUUGAGAUUUUUGUUCUUCAUUUUUUUAUUGUUCUUUUAUUUCUGGUACUAGAAUAGAAGAAAAAAAAAUCACUAAAUGUUCUGCUAUUUCAUUUCUAUGUCGAUUAUUGUUUAAAUUUUUUUGAAAUCUCUAGAGUCCAUCUUCUUCAUUUCGAUUAUGGAUUUUGGUUUAAAAGUGGAAGUCAUUUGAGAAGUUCGAGUCUGUUGCUGCUCGAGGGUUGAUUUUCAGCUGCUAUUUGCUUCCUUUGGGUCGAUUUCAGGGUUGUAUUAAUUCAGUCUCUUAAUUCCAGCUUCUUCCAUGAUUUCACAUGUGUGCUAACGCAUGUCCAUAUAAUCCUCUGGCCUCAGAAUUGGUUGGUUGCCAGUCGAAUAAGUUUAAAUGGCUCGUGUAUUUGUGAAGUUCAUGCUUGUUUGUGUACCAGGUGCCAAUCAGUCGAGUUACGAGUAGUUUUGUUCAUGCCUUAAUGCUGAAAAUGUACAGACUAUCUUGACACUAGAUUUCCAAUCAGUUUGCAUUCUCUGUUUACUGGUUCCUAUUCCCAGUGAUUUGUUUUCACCUUUAAAUAAGAUUGGAUUAUCUCAGCUCUAAAA
This is a long non-coding RNA of Nicotiana tabacum (common tobacco), 1055 nucleotides long. RefSeq lists it as uncharacterized. The record is from RefSeq and is a predicted model, not a curated record. Lineage: Eukaryota; Viridiplantae; Streptophyta; Magnoliopsida; Solanales; Solanaceae.